This 64-nucleotide transfer RNA is filed under the name Paramblynotus sp. ZJUH 20220012. RNAcentral's name for it is "tRNA-Phe". The record is from RNAcentral. Lineage: Eukaryota; Metazoa; Arthropoda; Insecta; Hymenoptera; Liopteridae.
AUUUAUAUAAUUUAAAAAAAAUAUUAUAAUGAAGAUAUAAAAAUGAAUAUAAAUUCUAUAAAUA